RNAcentral lists this ribosomal RNA (301 nucleotides) under uncultured bacterium. RNAcentral describes it as "partial 16S ribosomal RNA". It matches the Rfam family "Bacterial small subunit ribosomal RNA", at positions 509 to 809 of the family's 1533-position model. The record is from RNAcentral.
CAGCAGCCACGGUAACACAGAGGGUGCGAGCGUUAAUCGGAUUUACUGGGCGUAAAGCGUGCGUAGGCGGCUUCUUAAGUCGGAUGUGAAAUCCCUGAGCUUAACUUAGGAAUUGCAUUCGAUACUGGGAAGCUAGAGUAUGGGAGAGGAUGGUAGAAUUCCAGGUGUAGCGGUGAAAUGCGUAGAGAUCUGGAGGAAUACCGAUGGCGAAGGCAGCCAUCUGGCCUAAUACUGACGCUGAGGUACGAAAGCAUGGGGAGCAAACAGGAUUAGAGACCCCUGUAGUCCCUGUCUAUUAUAA